This 269-nucleotide long non-coding RNA is filed under the name Mytilus galloprovincialis (Mediterranean mussel). The record is from RNAcentral. Lineage: Eukaryota; Metazoa; Mollusca; Bivalvia; Mytilida; Mytilidae.
UGUAUUACUUAAACUGCAAUGCAAUGGUGGCAAUAUGUAUAGGUUAAAUAAUGACGCAUGUUCCUCCUUCGCGAACAUAUUCCUUCUCAUUUACUAAGCGGCCGUUAACAACAAGCAGACCGAACUGAAAAUUUACACCAUAUCAAAAUUUAACACAUGCCUUUGUCAAGCAUUUGCACCACUUUUAUAAAACUAUUCCAGACGCCAAGACCACACAAGUGAUUACUUCAUCAACACAUCAUGUACUUUGUAUUGCAUAUACACAUAGU